Ribosomal RNA from Lepisosteus oculatus (spotted gar), 119 nucleotides. NCBI's taxonomy places the organism in Eukaryota, Metazoa, Chordata, Actinopteri, Semionotiformes, Lepisosteidae. The record is from Ensembl.
GCCAGCAGCCAUGUCACCCUGCAACUUACAAUUGGCAAUCCACUGAAGCUAAGCAGGUGUGAGCCUGGUCAGUACCUGGAUAGGAGACCUCCUGGGAAAAACUAAGGUUGCUGCUGGAA